This 473-nucleotide ribosomal RNA is filed under the name uncultured bacterium. RNAcentral describes it as "bacterial SSU rRNA". It matches the Rfam family "Bacterial small subunit ribosomal RNA", at positions 328 to 793 of the family's 1533-position model. The record is from RNAcentral.
CAGCCAGACUCCUACGGGAGGCAGCAGUGGGGAAUAUUGCACAAUGGGCGCAAGCCUGAUGCAGCCAUGCCGCGUGUAUGAAGAAGGCCUUCGGGUUGUAAAGUACUUUCAGCGGGGAGGAAGGCGAUAAGGUUAAUAACCUUGUUGAUUGACGUUACCCGCAGAAGAAACACCGGCUAACUCCGUGCCAGCAGCCGCGGGAAUACGGAGGGUGCAAGCGUUAAUCGGAAUUUCUGGGCGUAAAGCGCACGCAGGCGGUCUUUCAAGUCGGAUGUGAAAUCCCCGGGCUCAACCUGGGGACUGCAUUCGAAACUGGCAGGCUGGAGUCUUGUAGAGGGGGGUAGAAUUCCAGGUGUAGCGGUGAAAUGCGUAGAGAUCUGGAGGAAUACCGGUGGCGAAGGCGGCCCCCUGGGCAAAGACUGCCGCUCAGGUGCGAAAGCGUGGGGAGCAAACAGGAUUAGAUACCCCAGUAC